This 116-nucleotide non-coding RNA is filed under the name Bacillus sp. (in: firmicutes). Its description in RNAcentral is "Bacillus sp. SAM-I sequence". It matches the Rfam family "SAM riboswitch aptamer (S box leader)". Rfam says of the family: The SAM riboswitch is found upstream of a number of genes which code for proteins involved in methionine or cysteine biosynthesis in Gram-positive bacteria. RNAcentral also lists the same sequence under 1 other name. The record is from RNAcentral. Lineage: Bacteria; Bacillati; Bacillota; Bacilli; Caryophanales; Bacillaceae.
CUCUUAUCAAGAGAGGUGGAGGGAUGUGCCCUAUGAAGCCCGGCAACCGUCGAUUUGCUUUUUGCAAUUGAAAUGGUGCCAAUUCACACAAAGCAAGCUGCUUUGGAAGAUGAGAG